Megalobrama amblycephala (Wuchang bream) is the source of this 1388-nucleotide long non-coding RNA. RefSeq lists it as uncharacterized. The transcript has 3 exons. Lineage: Eukaryota; Metazoa; Chordata; Actinopteri; Cypriniformes; Xenocyprididae. The record is from RefSeq and is a predicted model, not a curated record.
AGACACAUUCUGGGGACACCAGAGACUUUUACAUCUUGUGAAAAGGGGCAUUAAAAUUGUCUACUAAUACUCUAAUGAGAGUUAGUUGACAUUUAGUUACUUAUUGUGAGUAGUGUAAUGUCUAAAGUGGACCAUCAAAAUAAAGUGUAACCUAAUAUUUUCUUUAAACAGCGACUCAGCUCACCACUAGAAGGCUAUCGUAUGACUUUAGAAAUCUUUACAAAUUUUGUCAAUUUGCCAAUUUAGGAAUUUGACAGCUCCGGACUUAUGUUCUUUUUAGGUUUCAGUCGUUCAAUAUGUUCAUUAUGAGUGAUUACUGCAUCUUAGUGUGGUCUGUCUGGAGCUGUGAGAGUUGUGUCUACAGUGGGCAGUAGGAACAGCUGGUGUCGGGUGUCCGGGAGAGAGUUGCCUCCGAUGGGCAUGAAGAUCACCAUGGGUACAGACAUUUGGGCCUGCAAAAACAAAGAUUAUGCCAUGGAGCCGGAAUGUGAGGGGGCCGAUAUCACUGUCUGAAAGAAAGGAGGGAAGAAGAAAGGAAUAGACGAGAUGAAGUUGUCACAAGUCGGCCGUCUGGAUGAAUCGCAGAGAAAUAUCUCCCGGCUCCCUAUCGAGCAAGGCCAAAACAGCGCGCUCGUAGUGUCCGGCGCGAAAUGGCAGUUGUUCUUCAGGGAUCAAUGCGUUGACCAGGAGGGCCUCCCUCCCCUGGAGACUGUCAUUUCUUCUAGGAAUUCACAGAAGUGGAAGAUGAAAGCCUUGUGUCAUCGGCUCACCCAAAAACACCCGUCCGUAAGAGUCUCAGCCAAUGCCACAUCAAGGCCAAGGCCGGAGAGAGAGAGAGACAGGGCCGCCAUCUUAACCGGCUCUGCUUCAUAACUUCAGCCAUUUAUACCGAUCAGAUGUGACAGGCCUACAGAUCCAUGAAGUCCAUCUUUCUGCUUGAAGAUGUUGUGCAUGACAUGUAAACUAAGGUCAGCAUGAGUUUUGAGAUGUUGUGCAUCUGCAUCAGAAUCCAAGGCAAAAAUGAUAUCCUUUAUGCUGGAUAAUUAAUUAAUUUUUAAGUUUAUAUGCAUCUUUUUACAGAAGUAGAAGUAGGUAGAUGUUAAAAAUCACUGUGUUUUAUCUUGUAAAUUAAAUAGUUUUAAAUAUUUUCAUUUGUGUUCAUUUUGCAAUUCGAUUUUUCCCUCUCAUAUGUCUUAGUUUUUUGUUUUUUUUAAAAAUUGAAUGCAUGGCUGUUUUUAGAGCGAGAAAAGACCAAAAUAAGAUCGCAGGGAGAAAUUGAUCACAGACAAGAAAUACUUUAAUUAAAUAUUAUGUAAAAUGAACAACUUUGUACAACAAAAUGUAGAAAUGUGGCCAUAAAACAACUCAAAUAAAUCCAUACAUGAGCC